Molecule: small RNA, 128 nt
Filed under: Marmota monax (woodchuck)
Lineage: Eukaryota; Metazoa; Chordata; Mammalia; Rodentia; Sciuridae
Source: RNAcentral
GCUGGGUGUGGUGGCACACACCUGUAAUCCCAGCUGCUGGGGAGGUUGAGGCAGGAGGAUUGAGAGUUCAAAGUGAGCCUCAGCAACUUAUCAAGGCCCUCAAGCAACUCAGCUAGACCCUAUCUCUA